This 417-nucleotide ribosomal RNA is filed under the name uncultured bacterium. RNAcentral describes it as "bacterial SSU rRNA". It matches the Rfam family "Bacterial small subunit ribosomal RNA", at positions 355 to 769 of the family's 1533-position model. The record is from RNAcentral.
UAAGGAAUAUUGGUCAAUGGACGCAAGUCUGAACCAGCCAUGCCGCGUGAAGGAUUAAGGCCCUCUGGGUUGUAAACUUCUUUUAUAGGGGAAGAAAUGUGACGGUUCUCCGUCACUUGACGGUACCCUGGGAAUAAGCACCGGCUAACUCCGUGCCAGCAGCCGCGGUAAUACGGAGGGUGCAAGCGUUAUCCGGAUUCACUGGGUUUAAAGGGUGCGUAGGUGGGCAGAUAAGUCAGUGGUGAAAUCUUCCGGCUUAACCGGGAAACUGCCAUUGAUACUAUUUGUCUUGAAUAUUGCGGAGGUAAGCGGAAUAUGUCAUGUAGCGGAGAAAUGCUUAGAUAUGACAUAGAACACCAAUUGCGAAGGCAGCUUACUACACAAUCAUUGACACUGAGGCACGAAAGCGUGGGUAGC